Equus caballus (horse) is the source of this 1330-nucleotide long non-coding RNA. RefSeq annotates it as mast cell expressed membrane protein 1. Lineage: Eukaryota; Metazoa; Chordata; Mammalia; Perissodactyla; Equidae. The record is from RefSeq and is a predicted model, not a curated record.
GCAACACCUUCCGGUGGGUGGGGAUGUGUGUGGACAACUUGGUGCGCCAUGGAGGCUGAGGAAAUCUACGUGAACCGGGAGGUCAAGAUGCAGGCGGCAGCCUUCAAAGAGAAACGGGGGGCCCCAGCCAAUAAAGGUGCAGGUGACCCCAACUAUGAAAAUAUUGUCUUGAACUUCAGAAACCGGGACCAGCCAAAGAGUGCCCAUUCAUUGCCUAAGAAUCAGGUCCCCUCCCGGUCCAGGCCACUCUCGAAGUCUUCCCAGGUCCCCCACUGGUUACACACAGCCCUCCUGAGCCUGUACAUUCUCCUCACUCUGGUCUGCAUCAUUCUCUUGGCCUUGAUCCUGGUGAAGAAUUUGGAGACAAGCCAGGAGCUGCUGCACUUGAAAAGAGAGCUCUCCAACGUGUCCCUCUUGGUGCAACAGUGCCAGAAGGAACAGAAGCUGAGCAGGGAAGACAUCCUGAAGAACAUCACAGCGGUCAAGAAGAACAUCAGCAUGGUCCAGGACAAAGUCCAGCACGUGAAUGACAAUCUGAAGGACCUGUCAAAAGAUGUAAGUAACAUCAUGACGAACGUAAAGAAAAUCUUUGGGGAGCUGGAGAAGCAGGCAAAUAAGCCCACACCUUGAUCAAUGACAAGACAUCAAAGCCCUGGCUGCCACAUGGAGGAUGGGGCGGUGCCUUCCCUUGAAGAUGGAAAAUGGGGGCCCCAGCCCGGUCUGAACCUGUUCUUCAUUCCCACAUAUAAAAAAAUCACGUGUCAUGGUGAAUGCGUGUUGUCGAGUUGUGGAGUUGCGUGUGUGCCUGUGUGCGUGUGUAGGGGGGUUAGCAUUUCACGGAGGGCGAGCAUUUUGGUGCGUCCCACAGGAAGGGGUCAUGGGUACAUAUUAAAUGCAGGAGUCACAGCGAGUGUGGGGGUGCGCCUGUGUCACCUGACAUGUGACACACGUGUGUAUUGUGAUGUGUUGUGAGCGUAAUGCACAUCACGGUGGGUGGCUGUGUCAUCGGGGACCACAAAGAUGAGUCACUGUGAGUGUGGGUGCUGGCAACGUGUGUUGCCCUGUCGGUGUAAAUACACGAGUGUCCUGUAGUAUGUUGUGUGUACAAAUGUGUCAUGGCGGAGGUGUGUGUGGAGCACACUGUAAGAAUGUAUCACUGUAACUGUGGGUGUCAUGGUGUGUCAUUACCCGUUCCCGCACGAAUGAGUAUGUGUCAACGUGAGUGAGCCUGAUUCUAUCACUGAGGGUGUUUAGAGCAUGUACACGUGUGUGUCUAUGUUUCUGCACUCACAUUUUGUGAUUUAUGAAGAUAAAGGCCAAGGGAAAACAA